GGUGGUAAAUUCCAUCUAAGGCUAAAUAUAAGUGAGAGACCGAUAGCAAACAAGUACCGUGAGGGAAAGAUGAAAAGAACUUUGAAAAUAGAGUUAACAGUACGUGAAAUUGCUGAAAGGGAAACGUUUGAAGUUAGUAUUGUAUUCGUUGGAUCAGCUUCGCAAGAGGUCUAUUCCGAUGAUAAGCAAGUCAACAUCAGUCUAUGAGUGUUGGAAAAAGGGCUCGAGAAUGUAGCAAUUUAAUUGUGUUAUAGCUUGGGACUUUGAAUACAACGCUCUUGAUUGAGGAACGCGUAGUAAGCUUUGAGCGGGUUCGAAAGAGCCUCCUUACUAUGGAUGUUGGUGAAAUAACUUUAAGCGACCCGUCUUGAAACACGGACCAAGGAGUCUAACAUGCUUGCGAGUAUUAGGGCGUUGAAACCCGAAUGCGUAAUGAAAGUGAUUUCAGAUGUGAUCCGCAAGGUGCAACAUCGGCCGGUCCUGAUUAUUUAUAUGACGGUACUGAGCAAGAGCAAGUAUGUUAGGACCCGAAAGAUGGUGAACUAUGCCUGGAUAGGGUGAAGUCAGAGGAAACUCUGAUGGAAGCUCGUAGCGGUUCUGACGUGCAAAUCGAUCGUAGAAUCUGGGUAUAGGGGCGAAAGACUAAUCGAACCAUCUAGUAGCUGGUUCCUGCCGAAGUUUCCCUCA
Molecule: ribosomal RNA, 687 nt
Filed under: Melampsora occidentalis
Lineage: Eukaryota; Fungi; Basidiomycota; Pucciniomycetes; Pucciniales; Melampsoraceae
Description: eukaryotic LSU rRNA
Rfam family: Eukaryotic large subunit ribosomal RNA
Source: RNAcentral